AGAAGAAAUAACCUCAUUGUCCGACGAUGUUUUAAAAGUUUGUUUUUAAUGAAUGCUGAUAUAAUUUUGUGAUUAAUAAAAAACACAAUGGGCAGAAAAAAUGCUACAAGUUCGGCAAAAAGCAAAGAAAAGCGCAUGCAAAGGAAAGAGGAACAACAAAGAAUCAGUCAGGCUAUGUCCAUUAUUGCUUUGGCGAAUCAACUAGAGGAUCCAUUGGCUGAUUUUCCAGUAUUCCAAAAUUUUAAUAAGAAUGGCAUAUCUUGCCAUUUGUUUGUUAAAAGGAGUUCCAAACUAAGCGAAACAGAAAAGGGUUGGAUUUUUAAUUUAACCAAGAAAAAUAUGCAGUUAAAAUAUGAACAAUGUUCUUGGGGUUGGAAUGAUAAGAAAAAAAUGGAAGAAUUGUAUGAUGAAAGGGCUUGGUUUUUGUUGGCAGCAAACUGUAUUGAUCAAAGUUAUUUAGCUUUUUCUCACUUUAGAUUUGAUAUUGACAUGGGCAUUGAAGUUCUUUAUUGUUAUGAACUCCAACUAGAAACACAUGUGCAAAGGAAGGGUCUUGGUAAAUUUAUGAUGCAAGUUCUAGAGUUGAUGGCAUUCAAGAACAAUAUGAAAAAAGUUGUCUUAACGGUACUUAAAAAUAAUCCCAACUCUAAGUUCUUUAAAGCAAUAGGAUACGAAUUAGACGAAUCUUGUCCAAUCGACGAUGAAGAAGAAACCUACCCAUAUGAAAUCUUAAGCAAACUAAAUAAAAGGUUAGCUUCAGCUUUGCCAGCCGUAAACGUUAGAAAUCCUAAUCACAUUUAUGAUAACAAUCAAGGACACAGUCACUCAAAUGGCCACUGCUGCCCAGGACAUCUUCACUGAUUAUCUCAAUUUGAAUUCGGUUUGAUAUGUUUUUUUAAACUUGUAAGUAUUAUUUUUGUAAUAAAACAAUAAAAUAGUCAAUGAACAGUAAAAAUUUAUGGGAUUAUAAAUAAGUUAAUGUUUUACAAAAGAGUCGCCCGAAGAUUCGCUUCUCUAACAAUUCAAUGGAAACAAUUUUAAUAUGUUACAACAGCCUGGCAAAAAAAUAUCGGUACACAUUCCUUCUUUCAUGGAAAUGGAUUCCUAGUUAUUGAGUACUCCUUAUGAGCGUGUCCGCGCAGGCCUCCAAUUCUUCAAUUUUAUGCCCCUUAAAUGUCGAAAACAAUUCUUGGCUCUCACAGAUCGUUGUAUAACCCAGCACCGGAACAAUCGAUUAUGCAAUGUAGUUUUUUUGCCCACUUUAACUUAAUAAAGUUUCGUGUUUGCAGUUUUAAGUUUGAAGUGAGCGACUUUGAGAUUUUAAAAAUAGCAAAUAGAAAUGAACUAUGCAUUUUAGUCAGGUUGAUAUCUUCAAAACUGAAACGUGUAAAUAAAAGUAUAAGCCGUCAAGUGGGUUAGUCAUAUCCUAACAGAACUUGAUCUUUUGUAAAAUGACAAUCUCCCUACGCAAUAUAUUUCGAAAAUUUCGUAUAGCAAGGGGUAAAUAAAUUGUAGAUUUUAAAAAUUUUAUUUGAUUCCCAAAAUUCUUUUUUGAAAAUUAUGAACAAAAGUGGUAUUAGAUUGUAAGUGCUUAAAAAUUUUGUUUAUAAGGCGUUAAAAUCUUGGAACUCUAGAAUGUUGAUGUUUGGCACUGUGUAAAACUUCGGUCGUUUGGACCCUAAACAUUUUGGAAAUUAGAAAUUCAAAGAGUUGCAAAACUGUUAUCUGACUUUUAUUUGCUUAUUAGUUAAUUAGAAAAUGUUGAUCUAGUCGUCAUACAUUAAUGGCUUUGAUUAUUGAAAUUUACGAAAUCUUUUUUUUUAAUUUUUUUUUUCAAAUUUAAUUUAGCGCUGGUACAGGCAUAUACAAUAUAGCUACUAUACUUUUAUGUAGCAUAUAUGUUGUUUGAUUUCAAAUUCAAAAUUGGCUAUUUGAGUUAGACUUAGAUCACUGAUAGCGGAAUUUCCGUCUCUCUGUAAGUAUAUUAGUGCUGUAUUUUUGAAAAAUGUUGGUGCAUCUCAAGGGGUUAUUAAGAGGAAUAAGGAAGAAAUACGGAUAUCUACCCUUUUUUUGUAAAUUUUAAGUAAGUACACCAGAGGUAUUAAUUUUUUCCGAAAUUUUAAACUACACAUGGGCAUAUUGGGAUAUACGGACAUUAAAUGAUUGGAAUAAAUAUCAUUUGUCGCAGAAAAAAUCAAUCCGCAACUUUUCAUAACCUUCAAGUAAUGUAAUCACUGGCUUAAUAAAGCAAAAAUUAUCUUGGAUAUCUGUGCAUAAAACUGUAAUCGGCGUUGAUUGUUUUUACGCGAGUAAUAUGACUAAUAAUGACUAUAUUGUAUUUAUUUAUCAACUGUGCUGUAUAAUCGCUUUUAACGUAUAAGUUAUGAGCGCUCGCAUUAUUCUCCAGACCCUUAUAUAUAUCGCACAUUGUAAGGUGACUCGAAUAAAGUUGUUUUUAAAAAACUCACCCUGCGUAUCGACCAUUUAACUGAUGCAGUCGUUAGAUUUUUUCCGAGUUAAGUUUAUUGAACAUUUAAUUUCCGUGUCAACGGUCAAUCGGGCAAUUCACCUUUAAAAGUAGUUUAACGGUUCGAAGGAGUAUCGGGUCGUGAAUCGAAAGACUUUCGAAAGGACACCAUGUAGAGACAGAAGAAACAACAGUUCGAGUUGCUGCUAGAGUAGGAAGACCUGGGAAGGAACAAAAAUUGUCCGAUCCUAUAGGCACCGUAGCAUUAAGAAAAGAAAGAGGAAAACGAAGAAUCAGAAACAGAACAUGAAAACCAUUUCACUAUUUGGCGUCGACAUUAUCGGAGUUAGAUUAGAAGAACCAAAAUUUCAUAAUUUGAAUUUGAUAUUACGAAACUUAUAGAAGAAUUCUCCAAAUUAAAACUUAACUAUUUGUAAACCAAGAAAAUCUUUGGUAAUAUUACUGACCCAAAUCUAAAGGAUAAAAAAAUAUAACAGGUAACCUUAACCAAAACGAUGAAAGGUAUGAUAAAGCUAUUAAUAUGUUGACAGAGAACCAAAGUAAAAUUAAAAAGACAAUGAUUAACCAAAUAACAACAACCCUUUUAAACCAGAUGGAAACAUUAAUAGUAAAAUAUAUAUUAAUAGUAAAAAAUAUAUAAUCAAAAAAGAAUUUUUUAUACCCUGCAAAGGAUAGAAGUUGCAAUUAGCUUUGCUAAACUAAAUAUAUUUCAUAAUUCCAUUACUGAACCAACUUAUCUACUAUUAGAAAUCCAAAAAGCUAGUAAAUAUAUUAAAGGAAAUAAAUUCCCUUUUCGAAAUAAACCUUAAGAAUAUUCUAUAUUUUGAAAGAAAUAUGAAUAUUAAAAGUUACUCUAAGAAAAAUCAAAUUUUCUUUAAAAUAGAAAUCCAAAUUAUACUACUACUAUACUACUACUAUUUAUAUUUCUUACCUACUCCGAAAACUAACACAUUUGAAACUAUUGUCCCCCGUUCAAAAUUCCUUAUUCUAAACGAGCAAAUCUAUUUAUUCUUUGAUGAAAAAUGUAACGAUUUAACAGAAGAAUUUAUAUGCCAAGACCUACAAACGUCAACCAUAAUAGAAGUAAAUAUGCCUUGUGAAAUACUACUUUUAAAAUAUGUAGUAAACGCUAUUAACUAAACACCUGUCUCUACUCUGCUAAAUAAUAUUAAGAUACAGAAAAGAACCAGUGGAUCCUCAUCACACCCAAGAAGUUCGUAGUAACUCAAAAAUGUGACAACUCUAAGGAAAAUACUUUUAUUAACGGAACGUACGUAGUGGAAAUAAAUAAUCGAUGUGAAAUCUACGUCCAAAAUAUGAUCCUAUGAAGACCUGAACUCAAAUUUUAAGAAAUUGGAACUGACCUUGGUACCAAUUUCACCGUACCUAGAAGCCAGAAAGGAAAAUUUGAAUCAACUUAAAAUCGACGAAGUCAACUUGCCGAAGUCCGAAAAAUCUACCAAACCCUCGACGUACAGAAACAAGAAGAACUAUCUACCGGGAAUUUAAAACUCUAUGAAACCAGUAUAUAUACAGUUCUUUUCUUAUUUAAUUUUAACAAAAUGUCUCAAAAUAACCUUUUGUGAACUUAUAUUUAAAAACCAGAAAAUUAAUAAUGAAGAAGUUUCCCUAAAAGAAAGAAGUAAACAAGGACGAAGACAAGCAGAUACCGAGAGAAGACCAGUUUCCCUCUCGUUUGCCCCGUACUAUUAGCUACCCUAUAAUUCUUCACUAAGUCCGGGCGAGUUAUAUGACUAAUAAUGACUAUAUUGUAUUUAUUUAUCAACUGAGCUGUAUAAUCACUUUUAAGAUAUGAGCGCUUGUAUUAUUUUCCAGACUUUUAUAGUGUAUUGCACAUUGUAAGGUCUCUGUGACUCGAAUAAAGUUGUUUUUAAAAAACUCACCCUGCGUAUCGAACCUUUAACUUGCGACAGACGAAUGUAACAAAUACUUAAGCGUUUUUUGCAACAGUGGGCUUUUUAUUUUUUGUAAAGUAAUGUUUAGCAAUUAAUUACUAACACUUGUAACAAAUUAUAUAAAUUUAUAUUAUGAUUAAAAUAUCAUCCGUUUCGAUAAUGAUAAUUGACCUUGGGGAAUGACUAUUCCUUGUGACAAUAGAAGCUAAUGCGUAAUUUUCAACUAAAACUCCAUAGCACUUUGGACCAAAUUAAAGAAAGUAAAAAAAUGUUAGAACAGAGC
RNA transcript from Cylas formicarius (sweet potato weevil), 4687 nucleotides. It is a transcript of the gene named N-alpha-acetyltransferase 40, with no coding region annotated. The record is from RefSeq and is a predicted model, not a curated record. The transcript has 6 exons. NCBI's taxonomy places the organism in Eukaryota, Metazoa, Arthropoda, Insecta, Coleoptera, Brentidae.